GGCAACUUGGCCGAGCUGGUUAAGGCGUUAGACUCAAGAACAUCUUCUUGCCCUUCAACGGGGUCCAUUCUAAUCACGAAAGUGGCGUGAGUUCGAAUCUCACAGUUGUCA
This 111-nucleotide transfer RNA is filed under the name Immersiella caudata. RNAcentral describes it as "Cercophora caudata tRNA". It matches the Rfam family "tRNA". From Rfam's summary of the family: Transfer RNA (tRNA) molecules are approximately 80 nucleotides in length. Their secondary structure includes four short double-helical elements and three loops (D, anti-codon, and T loops). Lineage: Eukaryota; Fungi; Ascomycota; Sordariomycetes; Sordariales; Lasiosphaeriaceae. The record is from Rfam by way of RNAcentral.